GUUUGCACUCAUCGGGGAAGGGUGAGAACCUUCGACUAAGGUUCGAUUCGAGCGAAAGCGAGAGAACGUUGCCACAGGCAACGGCCCGAAGGGUGAGGAGCGAAGCGACGAAUAAUCCUUCCCCCCACCACCA
RNAcentral lists this small RNA (133 nucleotides) under Escherichia coli. RNAcentral's name for it is "RtT sRNA". It matches the Rfam family "RtT RNA". From Rfam's summary of the family: This family represents a bacterial cis-regulatory element known as RtT RNA. The exact function of RtT is unknown although it is thought that it may be involved in changing the cellular response in relation to amino acid starvation. The record is from RNAcentral. Lineage: Bacteria; Pseudomonadati; Pseudomonadota; Gammaproteobacteria; Enterobacterales; Enterobacteriaceae.